RNAcentral lists this long non-coding RNA (1986 nucleotides) under Linum usitatissimum (flax). Its description in RNAcentral is "long non-coding RNA (LUSI_LNC003522)". The record is from RNAcentral. Lineage: Eukaryota; Viridiplantae; Streptophyta; Magnoliopsida; Malpighiales; Linaceae.
UUGGUAAUCAGGCCAAGUGAUAUGGGUUUAGCCCACUAAAUAUUAGAGAUUGGAUUGAAUUUGGGCCCAUUUGAUAUAUUUAUAUUUUUAUUAAAUAAAGUGACGAAAAUAAAUAAAAAAUUAAAUAAAAGUGUUCAUCUCCUUCCUAGCUAAGCAAUCCAAUUCUCUAAAAAUAAGAAACACUCUCAUCAACAACCUCUCAUCUCAAAAACCCCUCUCAAAACUCUCCUACACUCUCAAAAGGCUUCCCUCCCAACAAAAUACACUUCAAGAAAAAAACACUCUCAAUUAAUCUCAUACAACAAAAGCACUCCUCCUUGAUCCUCAUCUUCCUCCAUAAGCCCUCUCCUUCAUCCCCUGCUGAGAGAUCAAAACAAGUAGAUCGCUAGUGAGUUCGCAACUAAAAACGAUAGAUGGAUCCAACAAUCAAGGCUUACUGCAUACGUGGGAAACGCAUUGAAAUACCUAAAGAUCGAGACACUAUCUUGAUGUUCAGUUAUUUCAAUUGUUAUUCACCCUUCUAUACACCCAAGAAAAGACACUUCAAGAAAAAAACACUCUCAAUUAAUCUCAUACAACAAAAGCACUCCUCCUUGAUCCUCAUCUUCCUCCAUAAGCCCUCUCCUUCUUCCCCUGUUGAGAGAUGAAAACAAGUAGAUCGCUAGUGAGUUCGCAACUAAAAACGAUAGAUGGAUCCAACAAUCAAGGCUUACUGCAUACGUGGGAAACGCAUUGAAAUACCUAAAGAUCGAGACACUAUCUUGAUGUUCAGUUAUUUCAAUUGUUAUUCACCCUUCUAUACAGCAUGCUAAGACCAACCGACAUAGGUUCACAUCAAUUUCGGCGGCUAUAUAGAUGUUGUUUUAUUAACUUUGCUUACAUAUGAACUAAAAACUAACUAAAAAAAUUGACACAUUUAUUUCAUGUUUUAGUUCAUGUUAUGCUACUAAGUCAUAAAUUUACAUUACUGCUAUUGGUCUAAACCAGUCAUUUGGGCUAGUUUUCUUUUGUUCUAUCUACAACAACCAAGUCAAAUAGUAUGAUUUAGCCACCAGUACACACGGAAAUCAACGCCCAACAGCCAUAAACCAAGCCAGAAUCGUAAAACCAGCAGUUUACCUCUCCUAAACUCAGAUUUUAUCCAUCUCCUUGUCUACUGAUCUCCUCCAAGGGGAAGUAUAGGCGUCAACCCAGAUUCGAUAUGACAAUCAAAAUCGAAAUACAUCAGGUCGGGGAUUGUGGGAAAUUUAAAUUAAAACAAUUGUGGGAGUCGAGACAGAAGGAUUUUCGUUACCUUCAAUUCGCAGGGGCCCAGCCGGACUAUGACGACUCAUGGAGGCGGAUGACGACGGAGAGCUUCCAUUCCAGCUGAUUUUCCUAAACCACUUCACCCAAAUCAAGAUCCAAAUCGAAAGAGAAAAAUAAACCGUGGUCAAAUCUCCGAUCCAAAAGUUGAGCUAGAACGGAAAAAUUGUAGAUGUUAGGAAGAGUAUGUUUUACAUGUGUUUUUUGCAUAAUCCAGUGAUUCAGCGGUGACGAGAAGAUGAACUGGAGGCGGCCACGAUUCUAGGGCCGAUCGACAAUGGGGAGAUCGCAAGAGAGAAGCCAUAAAUCGCGACAUCAAAUUUAGACUACGACAGCUUCUAAACGGCGAGAUCGAUGGCAUGCAAGGCUGGCGACGACGGUUGAGUCAACAUCGAUGAUGACCACCACGAUUUUCAGAAGCAGCUUCUCGAUGAUGAAAAAGAUAGAGAAGAGAGGUAACUCCUAUUUUAUAUGCUUCUUUUUUUUGAGAUGGUUAAGAACAAAAAGAAGAAGAGAGAAAAGAAAAAGAGAGGAAAUGGAGGAGAGGCAGCGGCAAGAGGAACAAAAAAAAGUAGGAAAGAAGAUGAAGGAUUCUGAAAAUUCAGAAAAAAUUGAGAGAGUAGGAGGAGAGAUGCGAGAGAAUUAUUGAGUUAGAGAGAGAAGAAGGAAGCUAAAAAUGAG